AUGUUGUAUGUCCUCUGGGGUCGCAAUCAAAAAAGGCCAACAGAAUUCCAUGGACUCACACCAAGAAUAGUAAGAAGCAUACUGCAUUGCUCCUGGAGUUGGAGGAACUUGACUGGACUUUUUCCAUGUGCAACUGUAAAGAAUCAGGUUUGGCCUCUGCUUCCCAAGUACCCUUUGUUUGGGAUCUGUCUGAAUCCUCUCUCCUCCUUGUCAAGAAGACCACAUCCCAUUUCAUGGGGAAAGAUGUCUCCAUAUUCAACACAGAGAUGUACCACCCAGAUCCUUCUCCAAGGAAAGAUUUGUUACCCAGGGGUGAGGAGUGCAAUCAGCAGGCAGCCUCCAGCUCUCAGAGCUUCCAGGGUCUGCCUGAAGUGUAGAGAGCAGCCUUGUAGGGGGUCAUGUCCUUCUGGGGCAGCCCACAUCCAAUGGCUGAGGGAGACAAUGGUCUAA
RNAcentral lists this long non-coding RNA (450 nucleotides) under Vulpes vulpes (red fox). RNAcentral's name for it is "lncRNA (ENSVVUG00000011767.1)". Lineage: Eukaryota; Metazoa; Chordata; Mammalia; Carnivora; Canidae. The record is from RNAcentral.